GACGUAGGGCGCGAGCGUUGUCCGGAUUUAUUGGGCGUAAAGAGCUCGUAGGCGGCUUGUCGCGUCGACCGUGAAAACUCGCAGCUCAACUGCGAGCCUGCGGUCGAUACGGGCAGGCUAGAGUUCGGUAGGGGAGACUGGAAUUCCUGGUGUAGCGGUGAAAUGCGCAGAUAUCAGGAGGAACACCGGUGGCGAAGGCGGGUCUCUGGGCAGUAACUGACACUGAGAGACGAAAGCUAGGGGAGCGAAUGGG
This 253-nucleotide ribosomal RNA is filed under the name uncultured bacterium. RNAcentral's name for it is "partial 16S ribosomal RNA". It matches the Rfam family "Bacterial small subunit ribosomal RNA", at positions 524 to 776 of the family's 1533-position model. The record is from RNAcentral.